CCCUGGUGGUUCAGAUGGGAAAGAAUCUGCCUGCGAUGCAGGAGGCCCAGGUUCGAUUCCUGGAUCCGGAA
Molecule: transfer RNA, 71 nt
Filed under: Bos indicus (zebu cattle)
Lineage: Eukaryota; Metazoa; Chordata; Mammalia; Artiodactyla; Bovidae
Also listed under: 1 other name
Rfam family: tRNA
About the family: Transfer RNA (tRNA) molecules are approximately 80 nucleotides in length.
Source: Rfam by way of RNAcentral